Molecule: small RNA, 593 nt
Filed under: Pan troglodytes (chimpanzee)
Lineage: Eukaryota; Metazoa; Chordata; Mammalia; Primates; Hominidae
Description: sense overlapping
Source: RNAcentral
UAGGGUGCCCUGCCUCAAGAAUUAGGUGUUGACAGUUAUUAGUGUAUUGCAGUCAAAUCAAAGUUUCUUUGGAGUGUGGGGUGAAAAUAUACCAAAAGAUUAAGUGUUUAUCACUGUUGCAGUUAUGGAUAAUUGUUAUUUUCUUCCUGCUAAUCUUUAUCAUUCAUUUUUCCUUUCUUUUUUUUUUUUUUUGAGAUGGAGUCUUGCUCUGUUGCCCAGGCUGGAGCACAGUGGCGCGAUCUUGGCUCACUGCAACCUCUGCCUUCCAGGUUCAAGCGAUUCUCCUCCCUCAGCCUCCUGAGUAGCUGGGACUACAGGCACGUGCCACCACGCCCGGCUACUUUUUGUAUUUUUUAGUAGAGACAGGGUUUCAAUGUGUUAGUCAGGAUGGUCUUUAUUUCCUGACCUCGUGAUCCACCCGCCUUGGCUUCCCAAAGUGCUGGGAUUACAGGCGUGAGCCACCGCGCCUGGCCAACUGAAUCGUAUUCUUCUUUGUGUACUUUCCUGUCUAGAUGUUAGACUUUGCAAGCUUACUAAAGGGUGGAUAAUGCCUGAGCCUUCUGGAGUCCGUCGGGUGUGAAGUGAGCGCUGGA